GACGAACCGUGCGAGCGUUGUUCGGAAUCACUGGGCUUAAAGGGCGCGUAGGCGGGUCGGCAAGUCCGGGGUGAAAGCCCCCAGCUCAACUGGGGAAGGGCCUUGGAAACUGCCGGUCUCGAGGGAGGUAGGGGCAUGUGGAACUUCGGGUGGAGCGGUGAAAUGCGUUGAUAUCCGAGGGAACGCCGGUGGCGAAAGCGACGUGCUGGACCUCUUCUGACGCUGAGGCGCGAAAGCCAGGGGAG
Molecule: ribosomal RNA, 245 nt
Filed under: uncultured Gemmata sp.
Lineage: Bacteria; Pseudomonadati; Planctomycetota; Planctomycetia; Gemmatales; Gemmataceae
Description: partial 16S ribosomal RNA
Rfam family: Bacterial small subunit ribosomal RNA
Source: RNAcentral